CCUACGGGGGGCAGCAGUGGGGAAUUUUGCGCAAUGGGGGCAACCCUGACGCAGCAACGCCGCGUGCGGGACGACGGCCUUCGGGUUGUAAACCGCUUUCAGCAGGGAAGAAAUUCGACGGUACCUGCAGAAGAAGCUCCGGCUAACUACGUGCCAGCAGCCGCGGUAAUACGUAGGGAGCGAGCGUUAUCCGGAUUCAUUGGGCGUAAAGAGCGCGUAGGCGGCCUCUCAAGCGGGAUCUCUAAUCCGAGGGCUCAACCCCCGGCCGGAUCCCGAACUGGGAGGCUCGAGUUCGGUAGAGGCAGGCGGAAUUCCCGGUGUAGCGGUGGAAUGCGCAGAUAUCGGGAAGAACACCGAUGGCGAAGGCAGCCUGCUGGGCCGCAACUGACGCUGAGGCGCGAAAGCUAGGGGAGCGAACAGGAUUAGAUACCCCAGUAGUC
Molecule: ribosomal RNA, 440 nt
Filed under: uncultured Eggerthella sp.
Lineage: Bacteria; Bacillati; Actinomycetota; Coriobacteriia; Eggerthellales; Eggerthellaceae
Description: bacterial SSU rRNA
Rfam family: Bacterial small subunit ribosomal RNA
Source: RNAcentral